AUGGCCACUGUGCUUUAUCUUUCACUCAAGACAAGAUAUAAUGCGGAGAUACAUUUGAAAGUCAAAAUGUUUCUCAAGACAUAUGGAACAUCGAAACCCACAAGGUACACUUUAUCUGAAGUUAAGAAGAUGGCAAAACGGUUUGAGGAAAAAGUAGGGCAGGGAGGAUUUGGAAGUGAAUACAAAGGUGAGCUACCAAAUGGAGUGCCUGUGGCAGUCAAGAUGCUAGAGAACUCUACAGGAGAGGGAGAAGUAUUCAUCAAUGAAGUUGCAACCAUCGGACUAAUCCACCAUGCUAAUAUUGUCCGUCUCCUUGGAUUUUGUUCCGAAGGAAUGCAACGGGCUCUUAUUUAUGAAUGUAUGCCUAAUGAGUCACUGGAGAAAUACAUAUUCGCUGAUGACUCUAAUAUUUUUCAGCAUCUUCUAGUACCAGGCAAGCUGCUAGAUAUUGCUUUAGGCAUCGCCAGAGGAAUGGAGUACUUGCAUCAAGGGUGCAACCAACGCAUCCUCCACUUUGACAUCAAGCCUCACAAUAUAUUGUUGGACCCCAACUUCAAUCCAAAGAUCUCAGACUUUGGCCUUGCCAAGUUGUGUGCAAGGGACCAAAGCAUUGUGACCUUACUGUCCGAGCAUUGUGACCCAAGAUGGCUGCAUGCAUCAUUAUGA
Molecule: ribosomal RNA, 666 nt
Filed under: Triticum aestivum (bread wheat)
Lineage: Eukaryota; Viridiplantae; Streptophyta; Magnoliopsida; Poales; Poaceae
Description: partial small subunit ribosomal RNA
Source: RNAcentral